AGUGAACGCUGGCGGUAGGCCUAACACAUGCAAGUCGAACGGCAGCACAGUAAGAGCUUGCUCUUACGGGUGGCGAGUGGCGGACGGGUGAGGAAUACAUCGGAAUCUACUUUUUCGUGGGGGAUAACGUAGGGAAACUUACGCUAAUACCGCAUACGACCUACGGGUGAAAGCAGGGGAUCUUCGGACCUUGCGCGAUUGAAUGAGCCGAUGUCGGAUUAGCUAGUUGGCGGGGUAAAGGCCCACCAAGGCGACGAUCCGUAGCUGGUCUGAGAGGAUGAUCAGCAACACUGGAACUGAGACACGCUCCCGACACCUACGGGAGGCAGCAGUGGGGAAUAUUGGACAAUGGGCGCAAGCCUGACCCAGCCAUACCGCGUGGGUGAAGAAGGCCUUCGGGUUGUAAAGCCCUUUUGUUGGGAAAGAAAAGCAGCAGGUUAAUACCCCGAUGUUCUGACGGUACCCCAAGAAUAAGCACCGGCUAACUUCGUG
Molecule: ribosomal RNA, 492 nt
Filed under: uncultured bacterium
Lineage: Bacteria
Description: partial 16S ribosomal RNA
Rfam family: Bacterial small subunit ribosomal RNA
Source: RNAcentral